UGUCUUCUACAUCUAUCUAUUCUUAACGAGCGCAAUGCCCAUUUAGCUCUUUACCCACGGGUUAUCCAUAUUUUACCCGAUUCCUACUAUAAAAUACACAUUUUACUUGACCCAUUUAGUAAACUAAACCGGAAUAUAACCGACUCCCCCAGCUAAAGUUCUGCGCUUGCCUUCUUCACGGAAAUUGAUUGCUGAUUUAUUCCUUUGUCUUCUUAUUUCGGCAUUCACCUCUUUCAUAAUAGAAAGAGACUCAUCAGCGAUGGAUUCACAUUCGCAGCAGCCGAUGACUAACCGGUCAAGCACAGGUGUAGGUCGCAAGAGAAAUCAUGAAAAUCAAGAAGAUAGUUCAUUUGCUGGCAUCAGCUUAACCAUGGCCUGAAAUUCAUCAAUCCAACAUUGUACUUGCUGCUGUGUUAUGCUUAAAGUAGGAACACCACGUGUUUGUUUAUUUAAUUCACCAUUAGCAUGAUAUAGCAGGUAGCCGUCGCCAAGUAUCUGGUAAUGCGUUAUGUUUAUUUCUUCAAUGAUGCACUGAAAACAUUAAGAAAUCCAAGAAGAUUAGUACUUCGUCGGCCUUUGAUAGUAUCAGCUCAUGAAAAAAUGCCACGAAUCGUAUUCCGCUAUCAGCUGUUGAUCAGAAUGCAUCCAAUCAAUGUAUGUUCGAUUUUACUGUCAAAUGUACAAAAUGUACACAGUUGCAGUGGAAUAGACUUGGGAAAGAAAAUGAAUCAUGUUACUCAAAACUCUGGAUCUCAAGACUUAGAAAAUCAGCUUAUUGGUUCAAAUGUCUGGUACACAAGUGAGGGCCAAAGCCAGCAACCAUUUCUUCAGAUCAGUCUCCUCUUGCUACAGAAACACAGGACUGAUGAACAAAUCUCGCUGGUGCGGAGGCCCCUCUAUGGCAAGUUGAAGCAAAGCAGUUCCACCAGGCUGCGAAUCCUGCACCAGAACCUGAAAUGCUCUCUGGGCACUAGAGCCGCCUCUAUGUAACCCCUGUUCGAAAAGUCUUGACGGUGUAGAAAUGUUUGGUUUGACUUCGCCAGCUGUUGUGCAGCUUUCUGGCUAUCAAAUGAUCAUUGCACUCCUGCGCUAUUUAUAUGAUUGUUGAGGAGAAGCCAACAUUUCCCAACAAACUCUAUCCAAUAGAUCUGCCAGUAGGAGUUCUACUCAAAAGCGGCACGACCGUGGUCCGGGAAUGCACAAUAUCAUAAAGAGUCUUCAGACUACCCCUGAUCAAACAAGCGGAUUUGCAUCAGGUUCUGGGAUGGAUUAUAACACGGGUUCAAACGAGGCAUAAGUUCUACAUGGUUUGCCGCCAAAUCUCUAACUAUGCAGCAUCUACUUUGCUUACUGUUUUAAUGUUUUUCGUAGUCCGUAAACACUGUUGGACUGAUUUAGAAGACGAAAGCACGCAAGGUAUUAUUUUACCACAAUCUAAUGUGGUUUCCACCAUUUCCAGGUCUUAUGUUGAAGCAUCAAAGAAAUACUUUUGUUUCAAUUUGUAAGAGCACUACUUGCCUAGAUAUUCACCAUGUAUCUGUUGUGUUUUAUUUUUUGAGGUAGCAUGUCAUAUACCUAGAGCUCUUGGUACAGCUCUACAUCAAUUUCUGAGCAAUAGGGAGGAAAGGAUUGAAAGACAAAAAACUGAUUAUCAAAAGCAAGAUGCCCAGUCAAUAGCAGACCAUAAAUUGCAGUAUGGUUAAUCUUUUGGAUUUGUUAAAGACUACAUGUGAAUUGUGAUCGUGUGAUGAAGCUAUAUUUGGGUAGUAUUUAUGAAUUCUAAUGAAGUUAUAACUAAAAUGUUUCAAUCUGCAUAUUAGAAGAAAUGAUAUAGGAACUAAGAGAGUGAACAACCUAUUUAUACACAUCCAAAGCUAACCUUGCACCUGGACCCUGCUAAUUUCGGAGCCUUGGCUAUGAACUUGAAUUGUGCUGCAUUUGGUCCUUGAUUAGCAUAUUUUCUGGCCUUGAGCGGUAACUAAUUAGGCAGAUAAGAAAAAAUUACUUGCGGUUAUAGAACUACAAGAGCCUAUUCUUAGCUUAGCUUUUUUAGUACAAAAACUUCACAUGGAUAUAUUACAUUAAAAAUGUGUCAAGUAUUGGACCCUUUAGAUUGCAAUCAGACACUCUCUCACAAAUAUAGCAUUUUUAAAAUCUUUUAGGGCAAAUAAAAAUCUAUUAAAAUAAAAUCCAGAUGUGCCAAAGAAGAAUUUGGUAAAUUGUAGACUGUGAUAAUUUGCAACUGAUUAGAAAUUUUAGGCUAUAAUGAUUUGGUUUAUGAUGCAUGAUUGCCUGAUAUAUAAUGACUGUUUUCAGAUACACAUACUGAUGGAUCAUACAGAUACAAGAUUAUUGACGAGGUAACUGAAAUUGAGAUCAUAGUGCAGAGAAACUGCAGAUAAAUUAUUGUUACAACCUUGAAUUUGUUUCUAUCAAUUUUGUUAGUGAAGUACUUUCUAUAUACACACUUUAUAAUUUAAAGUGCUUUCUCUUAAUAAUGUGAAAAGACUCCGAGGCUUUUGAAAAUGGUUUUAUCUUUUAUUUGAUACUUUUUCUUUGGUAAUAAACCUAUAGCAGUUUACCCUCUAACUACACCAGACCAUAAAUUGCAGUAUGGUUAAUCUUUUGGAUUUGUUAAAGACUACAUGUGAAUUGUGAUCGUGUGAUGAAGCUAUAUUUGGGUAGUAUUUAUGAAUUCUAAUGAAGUUAUAACUAAAAUGUUUCAAUCUGCAUAUUAGAAGAAAUGAUAUAGGAACUAAGAGAGUGAACAACCUAUUUAUACACAUCCAAAGCUAACCUUGCACCUGGACCCUGCUAAUUUCGGAGCCUUGGCUAUGAACUUGAAUUGUGCUGCAUUUGGUCCUUGAUUAGCAUAUUUUCUGGCCUUGAGCGGUAACUAAUUAGGCAGAUAAGAAAAAAUUACUUGCGGUUAUAGAACUACAAGAGCCUAUUCUUAGCUUAGCUUUUUUAGUACAAAAACUUCACAUGGAUAUAUUACAUUAAAAAUGUGUCAAGUAUUGGACCCUUUAGAUUGCAAUCAGACACUCUCUCACAAAUAUAGCAUUUUUAAAAUCUUUUAGGGCAAAUAAAAAUCUAUUAAAAUAAAAUCCAGAUGUGCCAAAGAAGAAUUUGGUAAAUUGUAGACUGUGAUAAUUUGCAACUGAUUAGAAAUUUUAGGCUAUAAUGAUUUGGUUUAUGAUGCAUGAUUGCCUGAUAUAUAAUGACUGUUUUCAGAUACACAUACUGAUGGAUCAUACAGAUACAAGAUUAUUGACGAGAAUCAAACAUGGCCCAGGUGUGGAAACUAUCUUUAGAAGACAGAAUAUAGUCAUGUUUAGCGAAUCUAACAGAGGAAGUACAUUGUUAGAGACGGGACGAACUCCUCACACUGUCAUAGAUCAGAAUCUCAUGGAUCAGACUAUGUCAUCGCUAGACAAAGGAACACGUGGUAAUUUAUCACUUUUUGUCGUGACAUCUUGAUAUAUUCUAAAAAAGUUUGCUAAUGUUAGGUGCAGAUCUAUGAAUUUUUGUGACGUCUUGGAUGCUUUACACAAGGUUCAUAAAUAGGCAUUGUCAGCUGAUACGGCUUCUAACCCAUUGCCUCCAUUACUGACAAAUAUAGUUUUCUGUAAAACCAUGACAUUGCUUAAUGUCCCCAAGGUAAGCAGGAUCAUGAUCAUCAUCUUUGAUUUUAUUAUAGUAGUAGGUAGAAUAGCCGUUAAACAAGUGUCAAAAUCUCAGAACAAGAUGAAUAUAUUUGAUUAUCUAUUUGACUCCCACAGGCAGACUUCCUAAAGAAAAAGUUCGCGUUCCAGAACUAUUUUGUCACAAGGAUAUUAAACUGGCGUAUUAAUAUCAAUAUUUUAAGUGUAUUCCUUUUCCAUCAUCAUCUCAAUUCAUAGGUAAACAAAGGCAUGUAAAUUACUAUAAACAUAAUGUAGGAAGGGGUAUAGAAAUAGUAUUUCACCUUACUACACUCAUUCCCCUGAUUACAUAUUAUCUCUUCGGCCUGUCAAGGGAAUGCCCCUCAUAGUUCAACCUUUGAAUUAGGUUGCCAGAUUAAGAUUGAUUUCCGACCGUGUGUUCUUUCAAAUAAGGUGCACAACUUGCUCCAGACAUAUCCUAGACAUUUGACGGUUUUGUUGUUUAAUGGCUUGAGUCAUCCUUUUGGUUUGAGAAUAAUAUCAGUAAAUUUAUGUUUACUCUUAGUUACUCAUGAAAAUAGUAUGAUAGGAUAUGUCUGGGGUAAAUAGAUAAGCUGCUCCUGAUGUUGAUUUUAGCUACUGAUCUGAGCUAGCUGCAACAUCAGGAGCAGCCAGGAUAUGUUGCUGCUAGCUCAGAUCACAAGAGUCUGUUGCAGCACAGCCUAUCUCAUUGCAGCAUAAUGUUGUGUUGGUGAUAAACUUUUUUGGCCAUACCACAAGGUAGUUUCGCAACUAUUCUUUUUCUACUGUAAUGCACGUGCAGAUCUAUGAAAAGCUCCAAUGAUUGAGGGAUAUCACGUUUAAAGUAGCAUAAGUAGAGUGAGAAACUGCAUGGCCUAAGAGAUAGACUUACAUAGUUAUGUCAAUGCUAGCUGGUGAUUCACAUUACUUGGAUAUUGGACAAUAUCAGCUACAAAAAGAGCAGCAUAAUUAUCAUAUCAUGUGAAGAAGCCAUCUGUAAUUUCCAUCAGCAUUACAACUUUCCUUUACCUUUGCUGUGCAGGCUCUGUCUCUACAACGAUUAUGACAACUAUAUUUUCUCUGGAGAGCAGCCUAUGCUUUAUUGUCAAAGGAACAUCUAAGUUAAAGAGGAAUAGGUGUGUUUUCUUACUAUAAGGCUACAUAUAUUUGCUCUGUGCACAUUAUGGCUAAUGUUGUAGCUACUCCAGCAACUGAGAUAGCUGAAUAGAGAGCAUUUUCUAUCGAGAAAUACUUAAAUCUUAACCUCUAUGUUUACUUCAAUAUUUCUCUUAUAUACAUAACUGAUAUAAAAGAGAAAAAAAUCUUUAUCUAUUACGGAUUAUGCCCGGAUAAAAUAAAAGAUAAUUUCAAUGAAUUAAAAGUCACUGAAACUCUAACUACAUAUUUUGCUUUUGGUUUUAUAUUCCUAAAAUGAUCAACUUCUUUAUAUCCACCAUUAGCUUGCUACAGUUGAAAACCAAAGAACCAGUUCAAUAAAUGGGAGAUUGAAUGCAGGAGUAGUGCUGUAAGCCUGUAACACCCUACAUCUCUGUUUUAAUUUAAAUUAAUACUGCUGGCUAUGCUUUUUUUGUAUUGUUAUUAGUGGCUGAUAACAAUAUUACAUAUUGUACAGAAUCUUAAAGAAACAUUAAAAUGAUUUGAGGAUGCAUCUAAUUACUAGACACUCAUAACUUCACUAAUGCUUGAUUCUAAUUGCAGAAAUUGCAUGUUUUCUGCGUGUCUACAUUCUUUUAGUUGAUUUUUUCUUAUGGAGUGCAUUGUUGUCUUCAUGUGAGAUACCAAUGGAGAUUAUAAAUAUCCUGAAAUCUGAAAUUUUUUUUGCCCAUGGCAGCGUGUUCAUCCGAGGCCCAUUAAUACAAAUUCUCUAGCAUUUUAUAAGCAUUUUUUAUAUCAUAGUGUUUGAUGUGGCAUACUUUUGAUUUUUGUAUGGGUAAUGCUACAUACCCCAAAAUCCAAAAAUCUUUACCAAAUGAUGUGGCAAACAAGUGGCAAAUUAUGAUUGGGUGAUUGAUGAAUCUGCAGGGGGUCUCAUUAUUAUGGGACUGAAUAUAGCCAAUCAGAUUUCACCACAUCAUUUGGGAAAAAUAUUUGGGAUUAUUUUUUGGGGUCCCUAUCAUUUUCCUUUUUGUAUAGCUUUGGGUAGUUCUGGGUAUUUUCUUGAUGGCCAAGCUCAUGCCGCUGCCGCCACUGGUUUGUUAGCUCGCACUGAAUUUCACCUGCACAUGCCACCAGCUAUAGCUGUGACAACAAGAGGGAGAUUAAAAGGAUUGAGACUGCAGCUAUCACUUCUUGACCGUGAAUUUGAUGAUCUAGGUUUGUUGAUACUUAGUAGUAAGAGUUCACUUAUACACAAAGGAUGCAGUUCAAAAGCAUCUUCAUUGCAUUCACAUGCUUGCAAUCAAAUUCUGACAUAAUAGCUCUGAUACUUUCCAUGUUUGGCGUGCGGGUAUACAGAGUCAGUGUUUUAUUGUAACAUUGUUUGUUUUUCCUGUAUAACUUGACCAUAAGAUUUUUUAUGCGGCAAAUUAAGUUGAUUGUACCUAUCAAAGAGUGGCCGUUAGUUAUAUAGUUUGGUUGA
RNA transcript from Daucus carota subsp. sativus, 6264 nucleotides. RefSeq lists it as uncharacterized. Lineage: Eukaryota; Viridiplantae; Streptophyta; Magnoliopsida; Apiales; Apiaceae. The record is from RefSeq and is a predicted model, not a curated record. The transcript is spliced from 9 exons.